This 479-nucleotide ribosomal RNA is filed under the name Bifidobacterium breve. RNAcentral describes it as "bacterial SSU rRNA". It matches the Rfam family "Bacterial small subunit ribosomal RNA", at positions 34 to 520 of the family's 1533-position model. The record is from RNAcentral. Lineage: Bacteria; Bacillati; Actinomycetota; Actinomycetes; Bifidobacteriales; Bifidobacteriaceae.
CGCUGGCGGCGUGCUUAACACAUGCAAGUCGAACGGGAUCCAUCGGGCUUUGCUUGGUGGUGAGAGUGGCGAACGGGUGAGUAUGCGUGACCGACCUGCCCCAUGCACCGGAAUAGCUCCUGGAAACGGGUGGUAAUGCCGGAUGCUCCAUCACACCGCAUGGUGUGUUGGGAAAGCCUUUGCGGCAUGGGAUGGGGUCGCGUCCUAUCAGCUUGAUGGCGGGGUAACGGCCCACCAUGGCUUCGACGGGUAGCCGGCCUGAGAGGGCGACCGGCCACAUUGGGACUGAGAUACGGCCCAGACUCCUACGGGAGGCAGCAGUGGGGAAUAUUGCACAAUGGGCGCAAGCCUGAUGCAGCGACGCCGCGUGAGGGAUGGAGGCCUUCGGGUUGUAAACCUCUUUUGUUAGGGAGCAANGCAUUUUUUGUUGAGUGUACCUUUCGAAUAAGCACCGGCUAACUACGUGCCAGCAGCCGCGG